UCUGGUUGAUCCUGCCAGUAGUCAUAUGCUUGUCUCAAAGAUUAAGCCAUGCAUGUCUAAGUAUAAAUAGUAUACAGUGAAACUGCGAAUGGCUCAUUAAAACAGUUAUAGUUUAUUUGAUAAUUGACAAUUACAUGGAUAACCGUGGUAAUUCUAGAGCUAAUACAUGCUUAAACGCCCGACUUUAUGGAAGGGUGGUAUUUAUUAGACUGAAGCCAAUAUUCCUUGUGUCUAUUGCGGUGAUUCAUAAUAACUGAUCGAAUCUCUUUUUGAGAUAAAUCAUUCAAGUUUCUGCCCUAUCAGCUUUCGAUGGUAGUGUAUUGGACUACCAUGGCAGUAACGGGUAACGAAGAAUUAGGGUUCGAUUUCGGAGAGGGAGCAUGAGAAACGGCUACCACAUCUAAGGAAGGCAGCAGGCGCGUAAAUUACCCAAUCCUGACUCAGGGAGGUAGUGACAAGAAAUAGCAAACCGGGAACCUCAUGGUUUCACGGUAUUGCAAUGAGAACAAUUUAAAACCCUUAGCGAGAAUCAAGUGGAGGACAAGUCUGGUGCCAGCACCCGCGGUAAUUCCAGCUCCACUAGCGUAUAUUAAAGUUGUUGCAGUUAAAAAGCUCGUAGUUGAACCUCUGUCUGGGGCUAGUUUUGGCUUUGGUCAGGCUAGUUCCAGGCAUCCGCCUACAAGACUUAGAGGGCAUUCAGUUGUUCACUAGGAGGAGUAGGCAUUUUACUUUGAAAAAAUUAGAGUGUUUAAGGCAGGCAAUCGCCCGCAUAUAUUAGCAUGGAAUAAUAGAAUAGGACACUUUUCCAUUUCGUUGGUUAUUGGAAUCGUGUAAUGAUUAAUAGGGACAGUUGUGGGCAUUUGUAUUUAAUUGUCAGAGGUGAAAUUCUUGGAUUUAUUAAAGACAAACUAACGCGAAAGCAUUUGCCAAGGAUGUUUUCAUUAAUCAAGAACGAAAGUUAGGGGAUCAAAGACGAUCAGAUACCGUCCUAGUCUUAACUAUAAACUAUUCCGACUCAAUGUUUGACUGGCUUAUAUAACCAGUUGAGCGUUGUAUGAGAAAUCAAAGUCUUUAGGUUCUGGGGGGAGUAUGGUUGCAAAGCUGAAACUUAAAGGAAUUGACGGAAGAGCACAACCAGGAGUGGAUUCUGCGGCUUAAUUUGACUCAACACGGGGAAACUUACCAGGUUAAAACAAUAGUGGGAUUGACAGUUUGAGAGCGCUUUCUUGAUUGGUUGGGUGGUGGUGCAUGGCCGUUCUUAGUUGGUGGAGUGAUUUGUCUGCUUAAUUGCGUUAACGAACGAGACCUUAACCUGCUUACUAGACUGGCGAUCAUCAAUCGUUAGCUCUUCUUAGAGGGAC
Molecule: ribosomal RNA, 1361 nt
Filed under: metagenome
Description: SSU rRNA
Rfam family: Eukaryotic small subunit ribosomal RNA
Source: RNAcentral